CCUUCGAUAGCUCAGUUGGAAGAGCGUGAGACUGUAAUGGUUACAACGAUAUAUAUCUCAAUGUCGCUGGUUCGAUCCCGGCUCGAAGGA
Molecule: non-coding RNA, 90 nt
Organism: Amylocystis lapponica
Lineage: Eukaryota; Fungi; Basidiomycota; Agaricomycetes; Polyporales; Postiaceae
Source: the annotation of a GenBank genome assembly